Molecule: ribosomal RNA, 481 nt
Filed under: uncultured bacterium
Lineage: Bacteria
Description: bacterial SSU rRNA
Rfam family: Bacterial small subunit ribosomal RNA
Source: RNAcentral
GGGCAUUGGAGACAGGUGGUGCAUGGUUGUUGUCAGCUUGUGUCGUGAGAUGUUGGGUUAAGUCCCGCAACGAGCGCAACCCCUAUUUCCAGUAGCCAGCAGGUAGAGCUGGGGGGUAUGGAGAGACUGCCCGGGAUAACCGGGAGGAAGGCGGGGAUGACGUCAAAUCAUCAUGCCCCUUAUGAUCAGGGCUACACACGUGCUACAAUGGCGUAAACAAAGGGAAGCGAGACGGUGACGUUGAGCAAAUCCCAAAAAUAACGUCCCAGUUCGGAUUGUAGUCUGCAACUCGACUACAUGAAGCUGGAAUCGCUAGUAAUCGCGAAUCAGAAUGUCGCGGUGAAUACGUUCCCGGGUCUUGUACACACCGCCCGUCACACCAUGGGAGUCGGAAAUGCCCGAAGUCAGUGACCUAACAGAAAGGAAGGAGCUGCCGAAGGUGGAGCCGGUAACUGGGGUGAAGUCGUAACAAAGUAACCGU